Molecule: transfer RNA, 73 nt
Filed under: Prototheca zopfii
Lineage: Eukaryota; Viridiplantae; Chlorophyta; Trebouxiophyceae; Chlorellales; Chlorellaceae
Description: tRNA-Lys
Rfam family: tRNA
About the family: Transfer RNA (tRNA) molecules are approximately 80 nucleotides in length. Their secondary structure includes four short double-helical elements and three loops (D, anti-codon, and T loops).
Source: RNAcentral
GGGUUCAUAGCUCAGUUGGUAGAGCAUCAGACUUUUAAUCUGCUGGUCGUAGGUUCGAGCCCUGCUGGACUCA